This is a long non-coding RNA of Neodiprion fabricii, 118 nucleotides long. RefSeq lists it as uncharacterized. The transcript is spliced from 3 exons. The record is from RefSeq and is a predicted model, not a curated record. Lineage: Eukaryota; Metazoa; Arthropoda; Insecta; Hymenoptera; Diprionidae.
GGAUCUUACACCCAUGGACUAUCCACGACUCCACCAAAUCUCGCACCCCAUUUUUCCGAGCGGCUUUGGGGAUCCAACUGUCACGACGCCAUUUUGAAAUUUUUCGACAAUAAAAAAA